Molecule: long non-coding RNA, 3189 nt
Organism: Siniperca chuatsi (mandarin fish)
Lineage: Eukaryota; Metazoa; Chordata; Actinopteri; Centrarchiformes; Sinipercidae
Exons: 2
Source: RefSeq, a predicted model, not a curated record
GUGCCUGCUUUUAUCUCACUCAGUCAGUCAUAAGGUCCAAAAUUCUCUGAGUCUAUAGUGAUCAGGGUUAUUGGGUAAAAAUCAUCCUUGCUAGAUGUAUUAGAUAACAGGCUGCAUGAGAACCAUUCUGAAGUGCAAAAUCUGGAGGUGUACUGUCACCAUACUUAUGUGUUGUACCGAGUGUACCGACCAAAAGGGAACUGAUCAAAUCAUUUUUAUUUUACUUAAUCUUCAUGUCACAAAGCAAAUGGGUUUAUGCACAACAUUUAUCCAGUGACUAAUGAGAAAACAGACUAAUAUUCUGACAUAUUUUUUUAGAUGUUUUUCAGUUUGUUUUUUAUUGAAAUGUAUUAUUAUAAUAGAUACAUGUCUUAAUUAAAUGCAGGCUUUCAUGUUGCCUGAAGCAAAUGGGGAAGUGCAGUGAUUGACAUGAGAUUGGGAUUUAGACUGCACCUGUACAAAAUAUCAGUGGAAUAAAUGACUUCAGAACUAUUUAUUUCACUUUUGAAGAGACCUCAGGUUAUGUCAAGUCUGUCUAUCAUAUUUGUUAUUCAGGCAGGUUUGUCUGUCGGGAUCAUUUUCAUCCAGUAGGGGUCACUGUAGCCCCAGUAAAGCAAGCUUUGUGAGCCCAGACUCAAGGCUGAUUUUGUCAGAGCAUUUAAUUAUACUGAAUGGUCAGACAGUGAACAUCAGAGGGCUCCCCAAAGGAUCAACACUCAUUUCCUUGUCUCAUUUUUAAGUACAUGUAGCCCCAAUAUGGUUUUUGUGCCGCAGUUUCUGUGAAUAUAAUGGCAGUAUUGUAGCUGCAAGUCAAGAGAUAUUUUCUCUUCGUUUCCCUCCCUGCUAAUAAUACUGAUCAUUUUUUGCUGCUAUCGGCCAUCUAUGGCAUCCCUCCUUUGACCCUUUGAGGCACUGUCGGUAGAAAACUAACAUUUUCUCUCCACUCAUUAAGAUAGUUGGCCAGUUAUUCAGUAUAGAUCUAAUAAGCUUUGACUGAAACUUACCAGACAGUGAAAUUAGUUGGCUACAGCUUUACAUACAAGUUGAGUUGUCCUCUAAAACAGCUGUGUCACAGCUCUUGGCCUACCCCAGUGUCAGUUAUUUUUGGUCUACUUGCCAACCACAGCACCUUUUUUUCAGUGGUGAACUGAUGCAGAAAUCGGAAAUCGCUAAAAAUCGUGCCCUCGUGAAAAAUGCAGCCUUGGAGGCCCUUCAGGGCAACAGCUGUUAUUUGGGGGACAGGGGGCCGUUUACUGGGGAGCCACUGAGCUUUGCAAGGACACAAGCGUGCAGGGUCCAUUUGGAUCAUAGGUUAAUGGUCAACUCUGACUCAUUGUGCCACUGGUAAAGUGCACUGCUGCAUUUUUGCACUGUUCGUGGUUCAUUACCUCGACCGAAGGGGAGGUGUUUGCUGAUCAGAGUUCGUACUGUUAUACACAAACUAUAAAUAAUGAGGAGAAAUGUGUCUGAGCCCAGAUGUCUUUGGCCAAGUGCAGGCUGGGUGUAAAAGUAACUGCUGGGUAUAAAUUGAGAAAGAUACCUGCUUCCCAGAGUCAGCUCUCUUGUUAUAUGGUCCAUUGUUUCACAUAGCGUGUCAGAUGAAAACUUUGGGGUCAUAGCCCCAGGGAGCUGAAUGUUGUCCAUGAGCAUCUUUUUCAAUUUACUUUACCAAAGGGCUCAAAUGAAAUUGUACCAAGGUGCAGUUUUAUUCUUUUCUUUAGCUCGAUUGUGACCUGUGGAAGAAAGUAAAGCAAACUAAAGUAAAGUAAAGUAAAGCAAAUGUCUCCCUGUGCUCUCCCUCUCUCCAGAAAAGCUUGAAAUUUAAAAUGAAGUUUCAUGGUCACAGAGAACGCACUGCAUUUCACAUAUAAUUCCAUCUUCAUUCAUUUAAGAUUUAAUAAAAUGCCAUGGAAAACUUUUAAAUGGUUUUGGAAAACCAUGAGCUUGCAGGUCCUUUUCUCAGAAGUAACUUGAAAUUAGCAUUUGUAGACUGUUAAGAAAAGAAAAACCUUCCCAAGGAGAAUUCUUCUUAAUGCUUUAAUGCUAACAACGUCCCUAAUUCUCCCCCAAUUCCAUCUGCAGCCAAAGAAACUAUCCAUAUAUCUUAAGAAGUAUAACUUUAAUGUUCAACCACAUUGCUAUCAUUUUUUCCCACUAAAAUGGUACCUCUACAUAUAAAUUGCAGUGCAGAGAGACUUUUGAGAUGGAAUAGAUUAUAUUGUUGUGCGGUAUGAUCGAUGAUACCCCUGAAAAUGAUCAUUUCUGAAAACAUAGCGGGGACCCUGGGACUGUACUUUUUUGUACCUUUUUUUUUUUAAAUACAUAUUUUAAGAUGUAUCCUCAAGCCACUCACUACAACCAAAAAAAAGGCUUUGCACUCUGAGAUUUUAAAAGUGAUAUAUCCUUUGUAUCUACCACCAGUAUCAUCAUGGUGCAGUGAUGUGAGAUGAUGGAUUGAUUGUCCUCUGUUAGGGACAUGUGCUGUCACUCUGUGAUAGAAAGGCAAGAACUCGAGCACCGUGUAGCUGCAGAGGAUUGUGUUAACGUACAUGAUACACCGUCUCAUGGAGAUGGAGAGGUGUGUGUUUCUGAUGGAAAGGAUCGCUGGAUAUAUUGUAUGUGAUUUGUCCAAAAAUAUUUUGCCCUCAGGGCUUACUUACUGCCCUUUUUAUGAGAAACAUGAAUUCUAUUGCAUUGCAUCUUAGUCCUGAUUAUUUCUUAAGAUUUAUUUACAAAAGACUCACUGUGAGUUGUAUCUACUUUACAAGCAAGGCCAGCGUGUAAUCUUGGCUCUACUAGUACAUUUGCCUUCCCCCCAGUCCUUAAUACAUUUUGAGACUCUGUCUAAACAUUUGAACUUCUUUUUCACAAUAAAAGUUCUCUUCACUUAAGUUUUUAUUUCCAUGUCAUGCCAAACAUUUGGCCCAAGAUACUGCUAUAUAUCAAACAUCAAUAAAAGAGCUGCAUAACAUAAUUUUCUGUACCAAAUUCAUACCACGUUCAUACUUUUAAAAAUGUGUUAGCCCUUGAGCCUGUUGUUUUUUCUUUUAAUAUCUGAGUUAAUCUGAUUGAAAUUUUAGUGGAAGGUUGCUGUUUGGGCAAGGCCAAUGUUUUUGUUCAAAACCCUCUUUCAAACUUACUUUUAAGUGUUUCAUGCAUCACCAUUAAAAAAAAAAAAAAAAAAAAAAA